CCUGAAUUCGAAAGGGACUGGAUUCAAGGCCAUCCGAGUGUAAAUCGGGGCGCCCUAUUCAGAUGUCACCGGACGCCCGCCCAUGAUUUAUUUCGUGCGCGGUGUCGAUCCCUGUGCUCACUCGUCUAGAGGUGUUUCCCUGGCACCGGAGGCUUGCACUUCCCCCCUAGUAGAAACGUCGCGACCCGUUGGGUGCCGGUCAUAAGGCUCGGGAUGGCAGACCACUUGUCCUGCGGGGGUUCCCAAAGGCGUGUGGACACCUGAUGACCCGGCCGGCUGCCCGACGGUAUAACCAGAGGAGUCGAUCCGCUGAAAAUGAGAAACACUGUGGUUGUGUAGCGUCCGGCCCUUUGCUGAUGUGCCCAGGGUUAGGCGUAAUGCCGUGGGUGUUCGUGCCUAGCACGGACUCCCGGCCCUGUGGAGUCUUCGGUUAUCGUGGUCCUCGGACUGGAUCAGCACUCCCGUCGGCGACGCCCACCUUCGGAUGGUCUCCCG
RNAcentral lists this ribosomal RNA (495 nucleotides) under Lopaphus sp. 1 SB-2021. RNAcentral's name for it is "partial large subunit ribosomal RNA". Lineage: Eukaryota; Metazoa; Arthropoda; Insecta; Phasmatodea; Lonchodidae. The record is from RNAcentral.